AGAACGUCCCGCGCCGAAGCGAAGCGCUCCAGACGGGCGCGCCUUUGCCGGCUGCUGGGUUUCCUGCAGUGAGAACUUAAGUGUGGUGUAGUUUUGAAAGCAACAUUUACCUCUAAGGAUGCUGUGAGAUCAAUCAGACGUUCUCUUCUCAUCUCCUUGCUGCCUGCAGCUUGACAGCCUCUCUGUCCUCCUCUGCCUCUCCUUUUCCUCCCAACCCCAUCCACUCCUCUUCCUUUUCUCUUCAGAGAAAACCAGCCCUGGAAUAUGACAGUGGUGACUUUUGAACAACAUUGUGACUGUCAUCAGUCCUUUCUACCCAAGGCUUCUCAACCAAUAUUUUUAGAACAACUCGCAGCUAUCCUGCAUACAUGUGGAUAUUUUUCUGGCUGUCUAUUCUCUAAACAAAUUGGCAUCAAUUCUGCUAUUUACCUAUAUACUAUAUGAGGCUAAUUAAUUAAUUAAUCUAUAGAUCAAACAAAAUUUGGUUCUCAGUUUAAAAUGGUUCGACUCUGGAUUUUUCGACUUCAUGAUAGUGUGAAAAAUGGCAUUCAUUCAGCAGAUAUCACCCUGGAGGGAGUUUCAAUAUUUCUCCAAGCUAGUCAUAUUUGGUGUGAUUCCCUCUUGUAACAGCAGUGACCUGGACAUCCAGUCAGGCACAGGACCUGGGGGACAGCAGUUUCCUUUUAUUUUGGAGGGAAACACGUUAAGUCAUGGGAGAUUAAAAAGGAGGUGUAGUAAGAGGCUGUUCAAAGUGGAGGUGAAGCAUUUUGUGUUCAGGGAAGCUUGUUAAACUCUGGGAGUAAACAACCCAAGGACUUCAAGAAAUGGAGUGGAAGUUUCUGGUUGGGUCAAGUGAUGCAGACUCAAAUGGUGAGGCCAACUCUCCUGGUGUUUUCCUGAGGCCAUGUGAUGUUUGAAGAAACUAUAAAUAGGACUCAACCGGACAGUGACUGUGCGCUUGCACAGCUAGCCUUGCAAGGCUUCGUUGGUUUCCCAUCUUCAUCUUUGCCUUCGCUGAUCUUCACUUCGUUGAGCGAGGCCCAGCAAGGAAGUUCCUGAAAAGAACUGGAUUCACCAGGUCUCUCCCUCACUACACCUAUGUAAGUGGUAAUGAUUGCUGAAGACACUCUCAGGUGUGCAGAAUGUCCUAGAAGACCCUAGACCAGAGGAUCAGCGUGGAGGAGACAGAGACUGGCUCAACUGUAUAGAAGAAACAAAGACCAGCCUAGGUACCUGGAAGAGGUUCGGAUCCACUGAGCCACCUGCAAAGGUCCUGUUGAGUUGCCCACAGUUGUGCCGUGAGCUCCAGGUCUCCAGGUCUUGCAAGCUGUCAACCAUGAUGGGGUAGCCUUUGGUCAUACAGCUCUCUGUAAGUCAUUUUUCCCCUCCCCCAUAUUCCUGUAAGUAGUCCCCACAAAGAUUAAUUGAUUG
Mus musculus (house mouse) is the source of this 1431-nucleotide long non-coding RNA. RefSeq annotates it as predicted gene, 31438. The record is from RefSeq and is a predicted model, not a curated record. The transcript has 3 exons. Lineage: Eukaryota; Metazoa; Chordata; Mammalia; Rodentia; Muridae.